RNAcentral lists this ribosomal RNA (300 nucleotides) under Triticum aestivum (bread wheat). RNAcentral's name for it is "partial small subunit ribosomal RNA". Lineage: Eukaryota; Viridiplantae; Streptophyta; Magnoliopsida; Poales; Poaceae. The record is from RNAcentral.
AUGCUGGAACCGGCCUUGGCGGGAGCUACAAUCAGUGGCCUUUUUUGCUACAACCGUUCUUUUGUUUUGCUGGAAUUAGCGACCUUUUUUGCUAGGAUCUGUAAUUUGAGAUGUUUUUUGCUGGAACUAUCUCUAAUUUUUGCUACCACCGUCUAUGAUUUUUGCUACCACUGGCCUUUUCGAUUUUUGCUACCGCCCGUCUAUAAUUUGCUGCUGAAACCCAGUUUCAAUUUUUUGCUACCAUCGUCUGUGUUUUUUGCUGCCACCGUCUUUGAUUUUUGCCACCAUCCCAUCUUUUGA